AAGGGACCUAGCGUAGUUCGGAAUUACUGGGCUUAAAGAGUUCGUAGGUGGUUGAAAAAGUUGGUGGUGAAAUCCCAGAGCUUAACUCUGGAACUGCCAUCAAAACUUUUCAGCUAGAGUAUGAUAGAGGAAAGCAGAAUUUCUAGUGUAGAGGUGAAAUUCGUAGAUAUUAGAAAGAAUACCAAUUGCGAAGGCAGCUUUCUGGAUCAUUACUGACACUGAGGAACGAAAGCAUGGGUAGCGAAGAGGAUUAGAUACCCUCGUAGUCCAUGCCGUAAACGAUGUGUGUUAGACGUUGGAAAUUUAUUUUCAGUGUCGCAGGGAAACCGAUAAACACACCGCCUGGGGAGUACGACCGCAAGGUUAAAACUCAAAUGAAUUGACGGGGACCCGCACAAGUAGUGGAGCGUGUGGUUUAAUUCGAAGAUACGCGCAGAACCUUACCAACACUUGACAUGUUCGUCGCGACUCUAAGAGAUUAGAGUUUUCGGUUCGGCCGGACGAAACACAGGUGCUGCAUGGCUGUCGUCAGCUCGUGUCGUGAGAUGUUGGGUUAAGUCCCGCAACGAGCGCAACCCUCACUUUUAGUUGCCAUCAUUAAGUUGGGCACUCUGAAAGAACUGCCAGUGAUAAGCUGGAGGAAGGUGGGGAUGACGUCAAGUCCUCAUGGCCCUUACGUGUUGGGCUACACACGUGCUACAAUGGCAUCUACAACAGGAAGCAAAACGGCAACGUUAAGCAAAUCCCGAAAAGAUGCCUCAGUUCGGAUUGCACUCUGCAACUCGAGUGCAUGAAGCUGGAAUUACUAGUAAUCGUGGAUCAGCGUGCCACGGUGAAUGCGUUCCCGGGUCUUGUACACACCGCCCGUCACACCAUGGGAGUUGGUUCUACCUUAAGGCAAGGUUUUAAACCCUUGACCACGGUAUAGUCAGCGACUGGGGUGAAGUCGUAACAAGGUAGCCGUAGGGGAACCUGCGGCUGGAUUACCUCCUUUCUAAGGAUGAGUGAAAGUAAAAUUUCACUCUAAAUAAUAUACAUCGGUAAUGUUGACCGUCCUCAUUUCUCUUCUUAAAGUAAUGUUUCCUUCUUGUAGGGCCGGUAGCUCAGUUGGUUAGAGCACAACCUUGAUAAGGGUGGGGUCGAAAGUUCGAGUCUUUCUCGGCCCACCAAAAACCUAAAUGGGGGAUUAGCUCAUCUGGGAGAGCGCCUGAUUUGCAUUCAGGAGGUAGCAGGUUCGAUCCCUGUAUCCUCCACCAGGAAACAUUUAGUUAUUAAAACUGUAAAUAAAAAUAAUUUAUAUCAAUAUCUAUAUCCGAACAUUAAAAGUUAUUAUUUAAUGUUCAAAAUAAAAAUUUGAUCACAACAUAGAUAAAUUUUCUUUAAAAAGAAUUUUUUUCUGUGCAUAAAUCAAGCGUUUAAGGGCGUGUAGUGGAUGCCUUGGCACUGAAAGCCGAUGAAGGACGUGAUAUACUGCGAUAAGUUUCGGGGAGCUGUAUGUAAGCUUUGAUCCGAAAAUUU
Molecule: small RNA, 1518 nt
Filed under: uncultured Arctic sea ice bacterium
Lineage: Bacteria
Description: bacterial SSU rRNA
Rfam family: Bacterial small subunit ribosomal RNA (bases 1-994)
Source: RNAcentral